Long non-coding RNA from Lolium perenne, 1564 nucleotides. RefSeq lists it as uncharacterized. NCBI's taxonomy places the organism in Eukaryota, Viridiplantae, Streptophyta, Magnoliopsida, Poales, Poaceae. The record is from RefSeq and is a predicted model, not a curated record.
UUUCUAAUUGCCUCUGCUCCCAGUAAUCCACCAAAUCUAGUUGUCUCCGCUGAGUCCGCUCCCGUAAUCCACCAAUUCUACUUGUCUAGCUACGCUCCCCGCACGAAUCCACCGAAAUCAGAGCACCAAUGAUUUCCCUCACCCACAAAUUGAUCCCACAAAUGGAGUGUGAGGUGCUGCUGUUGGAGGACGAUGGCGGAUGUAGAAGAGUGCGCGAAGGUUGCCGGUCGUGUACUUGGAGAAGAUAGAGAACUUCUUGCACUUCGAUCUGGAAACCAUCCAUGUCCUGAUUCAUCGAAUGUGCAUAGGGAAACAUGGGGAAUCGCUUCAUAGUGCUGAUUUCGAGUCGGCCGGAUGCCACGGCCGAAGUUGGAACGAUCUGUACGAUGGGAACUACUUUCAGCCUUCUCUGUAGCCACUGAUUUAUGUCCAAAGUCCAGACUCCAGAGUCCUCACGUCCCCAAUAAAACCAUGGUCCAAAGUCCAGACUCCAGAGUGCUCACGCCCCCAAUAAAACCAUGGGAUGACUACAGAACACAGAACAAAUGUUAGCUGCUUCUGCUUGCUGAGGCGCGCCAUUGGUCUUCUUCGGCGCUCAGUCAAAUCACUUAUGCACGCCUUACUCGAAGUAAUCGUCAGCCUUUUUGUUUUACUCUUGCUGGUUAGCACGGCACUGCUCACCGGCAAAGGAUUGUGGUGCACUUGAUUACAAAGCAAGAAGUUGGAGGGAGUCUGCUUCUGCUUGCUAAGGCGCGUUAUUGGUCUUCUUCGGCAGCCGCAGCUGGUUCAAAUCACUUAUGCACGCCUUACUCCAAGUAAUCAUCAGCAUUUUUGUUUUGCUCCCGCUGGUUAGCAUGGCACUGCUCGACGGCAAAGGAUUGUGAUGCACCUGAUUACAAAGCAGGAGCUUGGAGGGAGUAGCAAUGACCUGGAUGAAAACUAUGUUUUGUCGCUUUGGAGUCUUGCCGUCUCCCCCUUGUCUUUUGAAAAUCAAUACCUGUAUAUUAAGCCAGCGAUUUCACUUGCCGAACUACUGCGGUUGAGAUUCACAGGCCAGCAUACUAACGCAGACUUGAAGGGGUGCCUCAUUGAGGUUGCUGACAACUUCAGCGGCUUCGGCGCAGGAAUUUAUUCAUAACUUAGAAGCUUGUUGUAUCUUCAGCCGAUCUUAUCGGAACACAUGCAUAAAGAUGAGCGUGAGGAUUAGAUGCCAGGAAAGUAUAUGAGUACAAUACCAGAAUACGUGUACUUGUUCAGUCACUGGUCGCUGGAUCGUUUCGCUCCGGUGCUGCACGACCGGAUCAUCUCAAUCGCCCAGAUCAUCUGGCUUCUGGUGCUAGACUGCUUGCACGAUCGGAUCAUCUCAAUCCACAGAUUUGAUAGUUGCAGAUCUAGAUGCACGUGCAAACCUAAGUGUGAGGAUCCAUAACGACACAUUAGAGAAGAUGACGGCGGCAUGAGGAUGAGAGGAGGACGUUGCCUUGAUAUUUUGCUUUAGGGCACACGCUAUUGCUUUUUUUAGAGAAGAACGCAUCAUUCAUUGAUCCAAUAAGAUUGAAAAGGU